RNAcentral lists this small RNA (178 nucleotides) under Piliocolobus tephrosceles (Ugandan red Colobus). RNAcentral's name for it is "TUC338 (ENSPTEG00000029078.1)". The record is from RNAcentral. Lineage: Eukaryota; Metazoa; Chordata; Mammalia; Primates; Cercopithecidae.
UUGGGAUACCUGGAGAUUAAAGAUCUUUGCUGCACAAGGCCAGGUAUAAGCUCAGGUAGCCUCCUAGGCAGUCCUGCACAUUGCCAUGGCAAUGGAUUUCUAACCUGACCUGGAGAGCCAAUACCUGGUGGAGAAAGAUAGGUCCUUCAUAUCCAUGGACCACAGUUCUUUAAGAAAU